RNAcentral lists this ribosomal RNA (253 nucleotides) under uncultured bacterium. RNAcentral describes it as "partial 16S ribosomal RNA". It matches the Rfam family "Bacterial small subunit ribosomal RNA", at positions 524 to 776 of the family's 1533-position model. The record is from RNAcentral.
UACGUAGGGGGCGAGCGUUGUCCGGAGUUACUGGGCGUAAAGCGCACGCAGGCGGUCUGCUAAGUUUGGAGUGACAGUUGGUGGCUUAACUGCCAAAGUGCUUCGAAAACUGACAGACUUGAGGGCUUCAGAGGGACACGGAAUUCCGGGUGGAGUGGUGAAAUGCGUAGAGAUCCGGAGGAACACCAAAGGCGAAGGCAGUGUCCUGGGGAGUAACUGACGCUGAGGAGCGAAAGCGUGGGGAGCGAACAGG